AGGUUGCUUUUAGUAUAUACAAUUUUACGUGGUCUUGGAUCUGAUGAUUACACAAUGAUAAAGGUUCGUCAGUAUUUGAUGUUCAACCGAUCUUCAGUCAUCUCCGAUCUUCAUCUCGCAGAUACGGAUUUUAUUUCAUCGCCACUGAAGACGAGCCUCUCAAGACUUAUCCCUCCGUUUGUGAGUCCUGUUCACAAAUCGGAUUUGACUUCAUGUCCAUUCGAUUCUUGGCUUUCAUCUCCUCAAAUCUUCUUCGCAAAUCGUAGAUAACUUUCAUGUGGUUUCUCGGCUUUCAUUUUUUUUGUUAUUUAUUAUUGAUAUUGAUAUUGAUUUUGACUCACUAUUGAUUCAAGUGAACCAUUUCCAACGAUUCAUAUUAAUUCUGGUUUUGAUUUCCAUGUUCUUUUCUUAUUAUUUUUUUGGUAUACAUUUAAUAAUUUAA
Molecule: long non-coding RNA, 442 nt
Organism: Helianthus annuus (common sunflower)
Lineage: Eukaryota; Viridiplantae; Streptophyta; Magnoliopsida; Asterales; Asteraceae
Exons: 3
Source: RefSeq, a predicted model, not a curated record